Molecule: long non-coding RNA, 1080 nt
Filed under: Capsella grandiflora
Lineage: Eukaryota; Viridiplantae; Streptophyta; Magnoliopsida; Brassicales; Brassicaceae
Description: long non-coding RNA (CGRA_LNC000968)
Source: RNAcentral
UCUAUGGUCUUCUUCAACAUAUUCCAAAUCUCUGUUUCCUGGAAAACAGAUUCAAUCUAUGGGUUUUUCAAAAGAUUCAUGAUUUCACAGUUGUAAAAUCUGUAAUCAUCACUAAUAAUUAACUAAAAAAAGAGAGGUAAUUUAGAUUACCUCAAAGAGAAUCCCACCCGAAGGUGGUAGAGUUGAGUUUUUGACAACCUCAGAGUUGAGUUUUUGACAACCUCAGAGAGUGAACUCUUUAAGCCACGGUUUUUUAAGACCGGGCCAAGGAGUACCAAUCGAACCCUGGGGGGUUGUGUAAGAAGUUGAAUACCACAAACCACUUUAAACGGGAUCGAUUGGUGUUAUAAUCUCCAUUUUAAUUGUAGUUAGAAGGUUAAUAUAACCGGUUCCCGGUUUAGUACAUCGGUUCUUUAAUAUAGUUUUACAAACCAGAAACAACAAUUCGGGUUCGAGGAUUGCAUCGUCGUCAACACCGUACGAUUGUCUGAUCUGGGUUUUUUGUUUUCUAAAGAACCAAGAUUUUCAGAGUUCUUUGAUUGGAAUCUAAUGGAUAAAAAUGGAGAGAUGAAUAACGAUUUCAGAGUUCAAUCAUGUAGAGAAAGGCCAAAAAACAAAAACAAAAGAGAGGUAAUUUAGAUUACCUCAUUUAGGUCUAUCCAACCACAGUGGUGGAAGACGACAACAUCCGACGAGGAGUUUGAGUCAACCUCGGGAGAAAGGGCGCUCCAGGUUAAACUGGGAAGGUUUACAUUCCACUACGGGAAGAAGAUGCGCCCGGAGGCGGCUUAGUAGACCAGCUUAGUAGACCAUCCUCGAGGCUUAGUGCUCGGAGGACGGUAGAAGUUUCACGAGCCAUGAUGCUCGGACAGUAGAAGGUUCUCGAGGCAUAUGAUGCUCGGAUGAAGCCAACUUGGGUACCAAUAUUGCUCGAACCCUGGUGGGAGUCGUGCUCAGCUGAGACUCAACCACCUUGAACAGGUUCGAAUUGGUGUCCUAAUGUCUAUUUUAUUGGUACUUAUAGACUUAUAGACAUCGUUGGGUAAAUGAGCUAACAAAAGCCCACUAAAGAACCCAAUC